Ophiophagus hannah (king cobra) is the source of this 46-nucleotide non-coding RNA. The record is from Rfam. Lineage: Eukaryota; Metazoa; Chordata; Lepidosauria; Squamata; Elapidae.
GAAAAGGCCCUUUUCAGGGCCGCUCCAGUUUUCCAGAAAAGAGCUG